UUUCAAGUAUAAAAAAGGGCGCCGCUUACGGCCGGUUUCUUCCACCUACUGCAACUCUCCAUUUACACCCAUUCUUUUGUGCUUCCAUUUCUGUUGCUUCUCUCUGUACUCUCCAUUUUCGAUCUUCUCUCUGAGUGUUUCCAUCAGGAGCAAGACCACGAACCAUGGCUUUCCAGAAGAUCAAGGUCGCCAAUCCCAUCGUUGAGAUGGACGGAGAUGAAAUGACUCGAGUUAUCUGGGAGUCAAUUAAGAAUAAGCUUAUUUUCCCAUUUUUGGAAUUGGACAUCAAGUAUUUUGACCUUGGCCUUCCACACCGUGAUGCCACAGAUGAUAAAGUUACAAUUGAAAGUGCAGAAGCUACUUUAAAGUACAAUGUAGCAAUCAAAUGUGCAACAAUUACUCCAGAUGAGGCACGUGUUAAGGAAUUUGGCUUGAAGCAGAUGUGGAGAAGUCCAAAUGGAACAAUCAGGAAUAUUCUGAAUGGAACUGUCUUCAGAGAACCGAUUCUUUGCAAAAAUGUUCCUCGCCUUGUACCAGGUUGGACGAAGCCUAUCUGUAUUGGAAGACAUGCUUUUGGUGAUCAAUACAGAGCUACUGAUACAGUCAUCAGAGGACCUGGGAAAUUGAAAUUAGUUUUUGAGGGGCAGGAGACGCAAGAGAUAGAGGUUUUCAAUUUCACUGGUGCUGGAGGAGUUGCGUUAGCCAUGUAUAACACUGAUGAGUCCAUCCGAUCUUUUGCUGAGGCAUCAAUGGCCACUGCUUAUGAGAAGAAAUGGCCCCUUUACCUUAGCACAAAAAAUACUAUUCUAAAGAAAUACGAUGGAAGAUUCAAGGAUAUAUUCCAAGAAGUCUACGAAUCUCAGUGGAAAUCAAAGUUUGAGGCUGCUGGCAUAUGGUAUGAACACCGUCUCAUCGAUGAUAUGGUGGCUUAUGCCCUUAAGAGUGAAGGAGGUUAUGUCUGGGCAUGCAAGAACUAUGAUGGAGAUGUUCAGAGUGAUUUCUUAGCUCAAGGAUUUGGAUCUCUUGGCUUGAUGACUUCUGUAUUGGUUUGUCCUGAUGGAAAAACAAUUGAAGCAGAAGCAGCUCAUGGCACUGUUACACGACAUUUUAGGGUUCAUCAAAAAGGUGGUGAAACCAGCACAAACAGCAUAGCAUCCAUCUUUGCUUGGUCUCGUGGCCUUGCUCACAGGGCUAAACUAGAUGACAAUGCUAGUCUCUUAGAGUUCACCGAGAAACUAGAAUUGGCUUGUAUCGAUACUGUGGAAUCUGGAAAGAUGACCAAGGAUCUUGCUCUUAUCCUUCAUGGAUCCAAGCUUUCUCGUGACCAAUAUCUGAAUACUGAGGAGUUCAUUGAUGCUGUUGCUGAGGAACUAAAAUCCAGACUCCUCAAGGCAUAGUGGUAUUUUAAAUGUUCAAUGGUCAAUAAUUGUUAAGAAUAUCUUUCUCAUUUCAUCUUCUUUCCUAAGGUACAUAGUUUGGUGGGAUAUUGUUAAUGCAUUUGGCUUCUAACUAUCAACUCAACUAGGCUAUAGUCAUCUUGAGGUUGUUUAACAGUUACUUCUUUUACAAUCAUUUAUCCAAUCUCUUGUGCACUGUAUUCGGCCAUUUUAGGUAAUUGCACUACCAUUUUGUUGGUAAAUAAGUUGGUAAAGACGAUAUAUCUUAGAGAUUUUUAUCCUGCUCACAGAAAAAGGCAAUUGCUUUCUUGGUUCCUCAGUUUUUCAGUGCUUCCUUUUGCAUUAUGUGGAAAUUGUUGUGUUUUGAUCAAGAUAUUGAAUAAUUUCAUUUGAGGAUAAAUUUGGUUAUGAAGAGCUGUUGUGGUGGAAUUUGUUGGAAGUAUGGUGACAUACUUCAUAACUAUAAUUGAACUUGAGAUGUUCACUCUAUCGUGAAGUAAGAUCCUACUUUUUUUGUGGACUUAGAAAGCCUCUUACUGCAUUGGAACUAUUCUAAGGUGGGCACUUGUUAGGUGGAUUACUAGUUGAAGCGUGAUUCCCCACUUCUACUUGUUGGGUAUGUUGCAUAUUUGCUUCCACCAAUUUCUGAAUGGGAAUAUCAAAUUAACAUUUAGGUCUCAAGAAAAGAUAGCACUCUGAUAGACCACCAAUUAUACACCAGUAUAGUAGAAAGAAGAAGAAGCAGGGAGCAACCGCACGUGCCCAGGAAAAUAGCCUUUAAUAUUGUUAGUAGAUAUUUCAUAAUUUUGUGAGUAUAAAUAGGAGGUUGUUAAGGAGAGAGAGAGUUAGUUAGAAAGUUUCAUUUUGGCUGCAUGCUAUUCCUUGAGAGAUAGGAAGACAGGAGAGUUUUCGUAUUUCUGAAUUGAGGAGUUCUCAAUUUGACUUGUUGUAUUUCCUACUGUUUACUAAAGUAUUACUCAAGUAAUAAAGUAAAUUUUACUUGAUUCAAGACGAGUUCCAUCAAAUUGGUAUCAAAGCACGUCGAUUUUGGGCAAGGGAAAAACAAUGGUUCACACGCGAGCAGAAGAAAGAAUGGAAGCGCACGAUCAGGAAAUGAUGUGGAUAAAGAAAGAAGUAAGAUUCUGAAGAAAGAUUAACGUUGAUCAGUAUGCAAACGGAAAAGACGCAUCAAAUGUUGGUGCUUGUGAAUUCGAUUGCGAAGGAGCGGACUAUGACCAAUUAGAAAAUGGCCGAAUACAGUGCACAAGAGAUUGGAUACAAGAAAAAUAAUGAAGGAGAGAGUUGACAAGCAGACGAGGCGAGAGCGAAGCGAAGGAAAAGAAAAACGAGGAAGAAGAGGGAGCGAAUGAAAGAAACAAAUUCAAGAAAGUUGAAAUGCCAUAUUCAACGGUGAGGAUCCCGAUUCCUAGUGUUUCCGUGCUGAUCGGUAUUUACAGAUUCAUAAAUUGAACGAUGCUGAGAAAGUGUUGGUUGCGAUUGUCAACUUUGAAGGCCCAACAUUGAAUUGGUGCAGGGCACAGGAGAAACGUGAUAGGAGAAAUGUGAUAAGUUUACUGGAUGGAUAAACCACAAAGGGAGAGUACUUGUGCGUUUUCGAUCGGCAAGAGAGGGAUCCAUCUGCGGGCAAUUUCUAAGAAUUAAACAACAAGCCACGGUGGAAGAAUAUUGUAAUGAGUUCGAUAAACUAAUGGCACCACUCGCUGAUCUGCAAGAUCGAGUGGUAGAGGAAAUCUUUAUGAACGGUUUGUUUCCAUGGAUCAAGGCGGAGGUGGUUUUUUGUAGACCGGUCGGUUUAGCCAAGAUGAUGCACGUGGCUCAACUCGUGGAAAACCGGGAGAUCAUUCGCAAUGAGGCUAAUCUAAACAGUUAUGCCAAUGGCUAGAUUGUGAAGACUGAUCGCUGAAAUACAUGAAUUGAAGUAGAGAGGAGACAGACUAACGAAAACGGGAACUAUGUUGAAUCUGUUGUUGGUGGCUCUCUGAGGUUGUUACUGUUUUGUUCUGUAUUUGAAAAAUGUUGACUUUAAUUGUCAAAUAAUGAAAACUUAAGCUUCAGUUGUCAUAAUCUAUUCCCCAUUCUACACUUGGCUUGAAUCUGGAAUGUGUAAUUUUUGUCUUAGUUUCUGGUUCAGUGAGUUGCUUGCAAUAAGUAAUCAUCUUGGUUUUCUUGGUCA
Cucumis sativus (cucumber) is the source of this 3591-nucleotide RNA transcript. It is a transcript of the gene named cytosolic isocitrate dehydrogenase [NADP], with no coding region annotated. The record is from RefSeq and is marked provisional. NCBI's taxonomy places the organism in Eukaryota, Viridiplantae, Streptophyta, Magnoliopsida, Cucurbitales, Cucurbitaceae. The transcript has 16 exons.